UUGCGCCCGAAGCCAUUAGGCCGAGGGCACGUCUGCCUGGGCGUCACAC
This 49-nucleotide ribosomal RNA is filed under the name Sanguisorba filiformis. RNAcentral's name for it is "partial 5.8S ribosomal RNA". The record is from RNAcentral. Lineage: Eukaryota; Viridiplantae; Streptophyta; Magnoliopsida; Rosales; Rosaceae.